RNAcentral lists this ribosomal RNA (254 nucleotides) under uncultured bacterium. RNAcentral describes it as "partial 16S ribosomal RNA". It matches the Rfam family "Bacterial small subunit ribosomal RNA", at positions 524 to 776 of the family's 1533-position model. The record is from RNAcentral.
UACGGGGGGAGCAAGCGUUGUGCGGAUUUACUGGGCGUAAAGGGCGCGUAGGCGGUCAGCACAAGUCAGUUGUGAAAUCUCCGGGCUUAACUCGGAAAGGUCAACUGAUACUGUGCGACUAGAGUGCAGAAGGGGCAACUGGAAUUCUCGGUGUAGCGGUGAAAUGCGUAGAUAUCGAGAGGAACACCUGCGGCGAAGGCGGGUUGCUGGGCUGACACUGACGCUGAGGCGCGAAAGCCAGGGGAGCGAACGGG